Non-coding RNA from Podospora fimiseda, 74 nucleotides. The record is from the annotation of a GenBank genome assembly. NCBI's taxonomy places the organism in Eukaryota, Fungi, Ascomycota, Sordariomycetes, Sordariales, Podosporaceae.
GCCCGCUUGGCGCAGUGGCUCAACGCGUUGCAAUCUGAGUGCAAAGGUCCCAGGUUCGAAUCCUGGAGCGGGCA